Molecule: ribosomal RNA, 484 nt
Filed under: uncultured bacterium
Lineage: Bacteria
Description: partial 16S ribosomal RNA
Rfam family: Bacterial small subunit ribosomal RNA
Source: RNAcentral
AUUGAACGCUGGCGGAAUGCUUUACACAUGCAAGUCGAACGGCAGCACGGGGGCAACCCUGGUGGCGAGUGGCGAACGGGUGAGUAAUACAUCGGAACGUGCCCGGUCGUGGGGGAUAACGUAGCGAAAGUUACGCUAAUACCGCAUACGAUCUGAGGAUGAAAGCGGGGGACCUUCGGGCCUCGCGCGAUCGGAGCGGCCGAUGUCAGAUUAGGUAGUUGGUGGGGUAAAGGCCUACCAAGCCGACGAUCUGUAGCUGGUCUGAGAGGACGACCAGCCACACUGGGACUGAGACACGGCCCCGACUCCUACGGGAGGCAGCAGUGGGGAAUUUUGGACAAUGGGCGCAAGCCUGAUCCAGCCAUUCCGCGUGCAGGACGAAGGCCUUCGGGUUGUAAACUGCUUUUGUAUGGAACGAAAAGGCUCUGGCUAAUACCUGGGGCUCAUGACGGUACCGUAAGAAUAAGCACCGGCUAACUACGUG